This 253-nucleotide ribosomal RNA is filed under the name uncultured bacterium. Its description in RNAcentral is "partial 16S ribosomal RNA". It matches the Rfam family "Bacterial small subunit ribosomal RNA", at positions 524 to 776 of the family's 1533-position model. The record is from RNAcentral.
UACGUAGGGGGCUAGCGUUGUCCGGAAUCAUUGGGCGUAAAGAGCGUGUAGGCGGCCCGGUAAGUCCGCUGUGAAAGUCGGGGGCUCAACCCUCGAAUGCCGGUGGAUACUGUCGGGCUAGAGUGCGGAAGAGGCGAGUGGAAUUCCUGGUGUAGCGGUGAAAUGCGCAGAUAUCAGGAGGAACACCAAUGGCGAAGGCAGCUCGCUGGGACGGUACUGACGCUGAGGCGCGAAAGCGUGGGGAGCGAACAGG